UAGGAUUGAUAGAUCCAAUCUUGAUGCACAUCCCACUCCUACAGUGGACCAACUGUCGCCAACAUCCACUACAAGGGCUCCUUGAGAUCCAUGUUGAUGUGUCAGUCAAACUGCAGCAGCCUCACUGCGAGCAGUAGUGUCAUCUCAGGUCAAAAGACCAGUUACACAACUGCAGCAUCGAGAAAAUCACUAACGAGUGAGCAGACAUCUAUGUG
RNAcentral lists this long non-coding RNA (215 nucleotides) under Elaeis guineensis (African oil palm). Its description in RNAcentral is "long non-coding RNA (EGUI_LNC004069)". The record is from RNAcentral. Lineage: Eukaryota; Viridiplantae; Streptophyta; Magnoliopsida; Arecales; Arecaceae.